UCCUUCAACAUUGUGGAAACUUUGUUCUUUUGCUCUUUGCAAUGAAUCUUGCUACUGUUUACUCUUUGGGUCCAUACUGCUUUUAUGAGCUGUAACACUCGCCGCGAAAAUCUGUAGGUUCGCUUCUGAACCCAGUGUAGACCACGAGCCCACCGGGAGGAAAGAACAACUCCAGACGCGCUGCCUUAAGAGCUGUAACACUCACCGCCAAGGUCUGCAGUUUCACUCCUGAGCCAGCGAGACCACGAAUCCACCAGAAGAAAGGAACUCUGAACACAUCUGAACAUCAGAAGGGACAGACUCCAGACGCGCCACCUUAAGAGAUGUAACGCUCACCGCGAGGGUCCGCGGCUACAUUCCUGAAGUCAGUGAGAUCAAGAACCCACCGAUUCCGGACACAAAACAGUUUCGUGUAGCCUGGAGCCCAGGCAAGCAGUGAAAGCCAUCUAGAGAUGGAGGAGCAAAGCGAAUACACAGAGGUGGAGGCUGAACGCUGAGAAAAAGAGUGCUGGGGUCUUUGCAGUUUGGGUUGUAGCCACUUCCUGAAGCUCGGGGUCCUGAGGCAGCCCACAUACGAAACCUCUCUGUGUGCUUUCCUCACUCCAGCCUGAGCUUGCGUCUGUCUUUUUCAACCCAAGAAAAGGGUGAAUCCAAUGCAGGCUGAUUUCUGGCAUACAUCACAGUCCAGUCUGAUUUUCUGCAGAUUACUUUCUACAAGAUGAUUUGGGCACCUCAGUUUACCACCUCCCAGCGGACCGACGGGUGCGGGAGGAGAAUCACAAAUAUUGUGGCUAGUACAGAACAACUUCCACCAAGCCAGUUGUGACUGUUGUGGAUGGAGAUGGACACCUGGUGAAUGAUUUAAUCCACCAACAAUCGUGGCACACAGGCAUCGCCUUCCCCACGCCAGGACUCAGAGGCUGAGCCCACAGCUCCGGGGUGAGGAAUGGAGCUCCCCGAGCGUGGCUUAUCUUUCAAGGGAGCUCACACUCUUUUACAACAACACUCGAGGUGAGGGCUCCUUCAGACUCUCCCAACUCCACCCGUGGCCACAGCCUCCGGGGCAGGGCUCCUGUUCCUACCCACCCCUCAAGCUCCUUCUCAUCCACAUGCCCAGGCUAACGUUAGCCACACUGGCAGCGGGGGAACUGACUCUGAGCAGCAGGCGCUGGUCCCUGCUCCAAGCCCUGCUUUCUGAGUGAACUCUUGUACCAGCUGGAAUUGUCCCCGGGUGCUUCCUCCAUCAGACCACGGUCAAGUGCAGGUCCAGUGUUUUGGGUCAGAUGUCAGUGGGCAGGCUCAGCAUUCAUCCAAAGAAAUAGCAACUUUGUAAUUUGUUACUUGUAGGGGUAAUUAGCUAUCUGCAUAAAUUAACUGAUUCCUCCUCAUAGUAUGUCCCCUACAGACAGUGAGGGUUCAAUUUGCUGUUGGUGAAUUUGCUAAUGUGACUUAUUGAUUAAUCUUUUUAAAGUGGGGUGGUUCCCAACACUUGAGGCCAGCUGAGCCCAUGGAGAGGGUGGAAACUGACCCACAAAGUCGCCAGCUGCUGGGGAACACGGGUCAGCCCAGUGAGGCAACUCUCUGGCCACAUUGCCCACCGCCUGCCCUUCACUCCCACCAAGCAUGGCUCCCUCAGAGUCCCAUGGCUGCUCUGCUGCCCAAGGAAACUCUUCCUCUGGGCGUUCUCAAAGGCCUGAAUGGAUGAGUGCCAUGUCCAGUGCUAUGAGUCUCCUGAUGGUGGAUGGACACUGUGUCCCAUGUCCAGUGGUGGGGACUGUGCCAUGCCCUGUGUCCAGUGAUGCUGGAUGGGCUAUGCCCAGUGUCCAGUGAUUAUGGACAGGCACCGUGCCAAGUGUGCUAUGAUCGAUGGGUGCCAUGUCCAAUGUCUAAUGAUGAUGGGCAGGUAUGUUCAGGGUCAACUGAUGGUGGAUGGGUGCCAUGCCCAGUGUCUAAUGAUGAUUCAGUUGAUGGUGGAUGGGUGCCAUGCCCAGUGUCUAACGAUGAUUCAGUUGAUGGUAGAUGGGCGCCAUGUCCAGUAUCUAAUGAUGAUGGACAGGUAUGUUCAGGGUCAGUUGAUAGUGGAUGGGCGCCAUGUCCAGUGUCCAGUAAUGGUGUACCAUGCUCAGUGUCUGAUGAGAGUGUACAAGUGCCUUGCCCAGUGUCCAGUGAUGGUGGACAGGCACCAUGCCCAUUGUUCAGUAAUUAUGGUCAUUGGACAUGCCAAGUGUCCAGUGAUGGUGGACCAUGCCCAGUGUCUGAUGAGGGUGUAUGGGUGCCAUGCCCAAUAAUGGUGGACGGGCAUCAUAGCUAUUGUUCAGUGAUUAUGAACAGGUGCUAUGCCAAGUGUCCAGUGAUAGUGGAUGGUGCAGUGCCCAGGGUCCAAUGAUGGUGGACGGGCACCAUGCUCAGUGUCCAUUGUGGUGGAUGGGUACAAUGCCCACUGUCUAAUGAGGGUGUAUGGGCACCAUGCCCAGUGUCCAGCGCAUUGUCCAGUGAUAAUGGAUGGGCCCCAUGCCCAGUGUCCAGUGAUUAUGGACAGGCACCAUGCCCAGUGUUCAGUGAUGGUAGAUGGGCCCCAUGCCCUGUGUCCAAUGAUUAUGGACAGGCACCAUGCCCAGUGUUCAGUGAUGGUAGAUGGGCAGGCACCAUGCCCAGUGUCCAAUGAUUAUGGACAGGCACCAUGCCCAGUGUUCAGUGAUGGUAGACGGGCACCAUGCCCUGUGUCCAAUGAUUAUGGACAGGCACCAUGCCCAGUGUCUAAUGAUGGGGAAUAAUAGAGUUUGGAUGUUGUCCCCACCCAAAUCUCAUGUUGAAUUGUAAUCCCCAAUACCAGAGGUGUGGCCUGGUGGGAGGGGAUUGGAUCAUGGCAGUGGAUCCCUCAUGGCUUGGUGUUGUCUUCGAGACAGUGAGUGAGUUCUUGCAAAAUCUGGUCAUUUAAAAAUAUGUGGCACCUGCCCUUCACCUCUCUUACUUCUGCUUUUACCAUGUGAUGUGCCUGGUUCCCAUUUGCCUCAGGAAGCUUCCUGAGGCCUCCCCAGAAGCAGAAGCUACAAUGCUUCCUGUAGAGCCUGUGGAACUCUGGGCCAAUUAAAACUCUUUUCUUAUAAAUUACACAGUCUCAGGUACUUUUUUUUUUUUUUUUUUUUUGAGACAGAAUCUCACACUGUUGCCCAGGCUGGAGUGCGGUGGCACGAUCUCGGCUCACUGCAACCUCCACCUCCUGGGUUCAAGUGAUUCUCAUGCCUCAGCCUCCCGAGUAGCUGGGACUACAGGUGCAUGCCACCAUGCCCAGCUAAUUUUUUUAUUUUUAAUAGAGACGUGGUUUCACAGUGUUGGCCAGGAUGGUCUCCAUCUCUUGACCUUGUGAUCCACCCACCUCGGCCUCCCAAAGUGCUGGGAUUACAGGUGUGAGCCACUGGUGCCCGGCCUCAGGUACUUAUUAAUAGCAACGCAAGAAAGGUCUAACACAGUGGACAAGUACCAUGCCCAGUGUCUGCUGAGGUUGUAUGGGCACCCUACCCAAUGUCCUCUGAUGGUGGGGCAUUUGUCCAUGGGUCUGUGAAGAGCCAGGAAUACCUCAGCCGUAUUGGGGACAAGCUCGCCAGCCUGUGGAGUCCCCUCAUCCUUCUUUCUGUACCAUGACUGCUCCUCCAAUCAGAGAAUACUUUUCUCCUCACCACAUUCCACCUGUUACCAUAGGUGUUUGUCUUUUUGGCCUCCCUGAUAAAUUUCAGGCUCCUCAUGGACUGGGCCCACAGAAGCCCCUAGACUCUGGAUCUCCUAGCACUGGUCCUUAGCAGUGUUAAUGGAUGGAUGGUUGCCGGGGUACAUGAAUGGUUCAACUUUUCUUCAUAUAUUUAUCAUAAGUUAGAGGGAGGAUUCCAUUCACACCUCCCAAAGAGUCCAAACUGCUCACCACUUAGACCUGGAAGCCUUUACAGGAGACAAAAACUCCUGGUGAGGAAGGUAGAGCUUCUAGGGAAAGAAAGAAAAAAGAUUAGCAACUUUGUAUGGGACCUUGUGUUCAGCCAUUCUUGCACUGCUAUAAAGAAAUACCUGAGACUGGGUAAUUAAUAAGAAAAGAGGUUUAAUUGGCUCGUGGUUGUGCAGGCUGUAUAGGAGGCAUGGUACCGGCAUCUGCUCAACUUCUGGGGAGGCCUCAGGGAGUUGUUACUCAUGGUGGAAGGUAAAGCGGAAGCAGGCAUGUCUCAUGGCGAGAUUGGGAACAAGAGACAGAGAGCAGGAGGUGCCACACACUUUAAAACAACCAGAUCUCAUUCAUGACCAAGGGGAUGGUGCUAAGCCAUUCAUGAGGGAUCUGCCCCCGUGAUCCAAUCACUUCCCAUGAGGCCCCACCUCCAACACUCAGGACCACAUUUCCACAUGAGAUUUGGGUGGGGACACACAUUCAAACUCGAUCAGACCUUUGCCUUCGCGAUUUCACCAGGUCUUGCUGUGAGCACACCCACAGGGCCAUCUGCUGUCUGCCAUCAGUGUCUAUUUGAUGGCAGUGCCUCAUUUGGGCUGCCUGGUGCCAUGAUGUUUCAGUUGUCCCCUUUUGAUGGCCAUGCCUGAGAAGCCACAGGAGUAGUUGCUCAGUGUCAGGACUCAGGCUUCUGGUCCAAAACCCAGACCCACUUCUUAAGGCAGUGUGACCUUGGGCAGGUCACUUAAGCUCUUUCCUGUCUCUGAAAUGACUGGAAUAAUGGAAAGCUCUUCCUACAGUCAUUACAGGGACUAAGCGAGUUACUGCAGGAAAGCCUUAGAGCAUUGCUGCACAUCACAGCGCCCAGUAAAUAGUAGCCAUUGAUGCCUCCAUUUCCCAGAGGAGGAAACUGAGGCUCUGAGAGGUUCAGAGAUUUGCCCAAGGCUGCAGAGCUAGUGCACGGCAGAGAGAGGACUUAGAGCUAACUCUGUCUUCACCUAUUUAUUGAUCACAGGCUUGGUUAGACCCCAAGGUCUCCCACACACUCCCCAGUGGACAUCUCCACUGAUGUGGCUCGGACGCCACCAGCCCCAGCCCUGGUGUGUAUCGAGCCAGCGGCGGUGGUGGGGCCAGUGGCAGCAGGGUAGGGCAGUUGCUUUCACUGGAGUCUUUAGCACACAAGGCGAUGGGUCCAGCUGGGUCUUCUGAUGCUUAGACAUGGAGUUGGGCUGAAUUGCCUGGACCUCACAUCAUUUAAGGAUGAAUACAUUGUUCUGGGAUGUUCUCAUAAGAUCACAGAGACACAGAACAGAGACAGAGGUUUUCUCUUUCUAUUUUUCUGUUUCUUCACCUUGAUGACAUCACUUAUUGUAGUGUGUUUGAAUAGUGUCCCUGCCAAAUCCAUCUCUACCCAGAGCCUCAGAAUCUACACUUAUUUGAAAAUAGGGUUUUUUGGCCGGGUGUGGUGGCUCAUGCCUGUAAUCCCAGGCACUUUGGGAGGCCGAGGUGAGCAGAUCACCUGAGGUCAGGAGUUCAAGACCAACGUGGCCAACAUGGUGAAACCCCAUCUCUACUAAAAAUACAAAAAUUAGCUGGGCAUGAUGGCAGGUGCUACUUGGCAGCUACUUGGCAGCUACUUGGGAGGCUGAGGCAAGAGAAUCGCUUGAACCUGGGAAGCGAAGGUUGCAGUGAGCCAAGAUCAUGCCAUUGCACUCCAGCCUGGGCGGCAGAGUAAGACUUCAUCUAAAAAAAAAAAGAAAAGAAAAUGGGGUUUUUGUAGAUGUCGUGAGUGAAGAUGAGGUCUUCCUGGAGUAGGGUGGGCCUAAAUCAAAUGACUGGUGUCUCCAUAAGCAGAGGAGAGGACACGCAGAGGGACACCGGGGAAGAGGGUGGCGAGACAGUGGAAGCAGAGGCUGCAGCGAGGCAUGGACGUCUACAAGCCGAGGCACAGCCGGGAUGGCCGGCCACCGGGAGCUGAAGGGACAAGGAAGGAGCCCCCGGAGGAAGUGCUGCUGGCCCACACCUUGAUCUCGGACUUCCAGCCUCCAGAGCUGGGAAAGAAGAAAUUCCAUUGUGCAAACACCUGGUCUAUGGUGCUUCGUCCCCGCAGAUGCGGCAAGCGGGUCCAGCCAAGAAUAAAUGCGAGGUGGGCAGCAGUGGAAUCACUUCUCACUGAGGUGGGAUGAGGCCAGAGGGAAACGAGGAGGUGGGCUCAGAAGCCCAGUUCCCCAGUGGGGUCUUCUUUUUCCCUUCCUGGGGGUGGCUCCUGCGUGGCUCCUUUUGCUGCCUGUCUGCCCAUCCUGACUUGAUCUUAUUUGCCCUGGCGGAGCUGCCUUCCCCCUCGUGUCACCUCUGCCCUUUCCGGGAGGGGCCCUUGUUCUCCGCCCCCAGCAACACUCCCACCCCGUGAGCCUCAGGCUUUGCUGCCGGUCUCUGCUGUCCCAAAUGCGCGGCUCACUCCUGUCCUGUGUGGGCUGUCACCUGGCGGGGGAGUGGGUGGAUACAGAGGUGGUUAGGCUUCAGAAUGGUUUCCCUCUCCUCUGUGACUGGCAGCUCUGUCAUUCGUCAAACCCUGAGAUGCCAGACAGUUUCCUAUCUCUCAAACAAAGGUUAAGCAAAUCAAGUUUUCAGAGUAAAGCUGAUCCAUUGACAGGACAAAUUGCUUAAGGAGAAUUCAUCUCACUGUCGGCAAAAUCCAUCAAUCUAGGGUUAGUCAUUGAGUAUCUCCUGC
Molecule: long non-coding RNA, 6656 nt
Organism: Gorilla gorilla gorilla (western lowland gorilla)
Lineage: Eukaryota; Metazoa; Chordata; Mammalia; Primates; Hominidae
Exons: 3
Source: RefSeq, a predicted model, not a curated record